Non-coding RNA from Nematostella vectensis (starlet sea anemone), 82 nucleotides. Lineage: Eukaryota; Metazoa; Cnidaria; Anthozoa; Actiniaria; Edwardsiidae. The record is from Rfam.
GUUGCGGUGGCCGAGUGGUUAAGGCGUUGGACUAGAAAUUCAAUGGGAUCUUCCCGCGCAGGUUCGAAUCCUGCUCGCAACG